RNAcentral lists this ribosomal RNA (310 nucleotides) under uncultured bacterium. Its description in RNAcentral is "bacterial SSU rRNA". It matches the Rfam family "Bacterial small subunit ribosomal RNA", at positions 30 to 334 of the family's 1533-position model. The record is from RNAcentral.
AUUGAACGCUGGCGGCAGGCUUAACACAUGCAAGUCGAGCGGUAACAGAGAUAGCUUGCUAUCUGCUGACGAGCGGCGGACGGGUGAGUAAUGCUUGGGAAUAUGCCUUAUGGUGGGGGACAACAGUUGGAAACGACUGCUAAUACCGCAUAACGUCUACGGACCAAAGGAGGGGAUUCUUCGGAACCUUUCGCCAUUUGAUUAGCCCAAGUGAGAUUAGCUAGUAGGUGAGGUAAGAGCUCACCUAGGCGACGAUCUCUAGCUGGUUUGAGAGGAUGAUCAGCCACACUGGGACUGAGACACGGCCCAG